Molecule: ribosomal RNA, 468 nt
Filed under: uncultured bacterium
Lineage: Bacteria
Description: partial 16S ribosomal RNA
Rfam family: Bacterial small subunit ribosomal RNA
Source: RNAcentral
GACGAACGCUGGCGGCGUGCUUAACACAUGCAAGUCGAACGGAAAGGCCCUGCUUUUGUGGGGUGCUCGAGUGGCGAACGGGUGAGUAACACGUGAGUAACCUGCCCUUGACUUUGGGAUAACUUCAGGAAACUGGGGCUAAUACCGGAUAGGAGCUCCUGCUGCAUGGUGGGGGUUGGAAAGUUUCGGCGGUGGGGGAUGGACUCGCGGCUUAUCAGCUUGUUGGUGGGGUAGUGGCUUACCAAGGCUUUGACGGGUAGCCGGCCUGAGAGGGUGACCGGCCACAUUGGGACUGAGAUACGGCCCAGACUCCUACGGGAGGCAGCAGUGGGGAAUAGUGCACAAUGGGCGGAAGCCUGAUGCAGCAACGCCGCGUGCGGGAUGACGGCCUUCGGGUUGUAAACCGCUUUCGCCUGUGACGAAGCGUGAGUGACGGUAAUGGGUAAAGAAGCACCGGCUAACUACGUG